This is a non-coding RNA of Plectosphaerella plurivora, 82 nucleotides long. The record is from the annotation of a GenBank genome assembly. NCBI's taxonomy places the organism in Eukaryota, Fungi, Ascomycota, Sordariomycetes, Glomerellales, Plectosphaerellaceae.
GAUCUUGUGGCGCAGCGGUAGCGCGUCUGAUUCCAGCAAUGGAGUUUCCAGAAGGUCAUCCGUUCAAUCCGGGUCAGGAUCA